RNAcentral lists this ribosomal RNA (464 nucleotides) under Vreelandella stevensii. RNAcentral describes it as "partial 16S ribosomal RNA". It matches the Rfam family "Bacterial small subunit ribosomal RNA", at positions 338 to 795 of the family's 1533-position model. The record is from RNAcentral. Lineage: Bacteria; Pseudomonadati; Pseudomonadota; Gammaproteobacteria; Oceanospirillales; Halomonadaceae.
CCUACGGGAGGCUGCAGUGGGGAAUAUUGGACAAUGGGGGGAACCCUGAUCCAGCCAUGCCGCGUGUGUGAAGAAGGCCCUCGGGUUGUAAAGCACUUUCAGUGAGGAAGAACGCCUGGUGGUUAAUACCCAUCAGGAAAGACAUCACUCACAGAAGAAGCACCGGCUAACUCCGUGCCAGCAGCCGCGGUAAUACGGAGGGUGCGAGCGUUAAUCGGAAUUACUGGGCGUAAAGCGCGCGUAGGUGGCUUGAUAAGCCGGUUGUGAAAGCCCCGGGCUCAACCUGGGAACGGCAUCCGGAACUGUCAAGCUAGAGUGCAGGAGAGGAAGGUAGAAUUCCCGGGGUAGCGGUGAAAUGCGUAGAGAUCGGGAGGAAUACCAGUGGCGAAGGCGGCCUUCUGGACUGACACUGACACUGAGGUGCGAAAGCGUGGGUAGCAAACAGGAUUAGUACCCGUGUAGUC